RNAcentral lists this ribosomal RNA (482 nucleotides) under uncultured bacterium. Its description in RNAcentral is "partial 16S ribosomal RNA". It matches the Rfam family "Bacterial small subunit ribosomal RNA", at positions 30 to 507 of the family's 1533-position model. The record is from RNAcentral.
AUUGAACGCUGGCGGCAUGCUUUACACAUGCAAGUCGAACGGUAACAGGCCGCAAGGUGCUGACGAGUGGCGAACGGGUGAGUAAUGCAUCGGAACGUGCCCAGUCGUGGGGGAUAACUACUCGAAAGAGUAGCUAAUACCGCAUACGAUCUAUGGAUGAAAGCGGGGGACCGUAAGGCCUCGCGCGAUUGGAGCGGCCGAUGUCAGAUUAGGUAGUUGGUGGGGUAAAGGCUCACCAAGCCAACGAUCUGUAGCUGGUCUGAGAGGACGACCAGCCACACUGGGACUGAGACACGGCCCAGACUCCUACGGGAGGCAGCAGUGGGGAAUUUUGGACAAUGGGCGCAAGCCUGAUCCAGCAAUGCCGCGUGCAGGAAGAAGGCCUUCGGGUUGUAAACUGCUUUUGUACGGAACGAAACGGCUCUGGUUAAUACCCGGGGCUAAUGACGGUACCGUAAGAAUAAGCACCGGCUAACCACGUG